GGAGAGAUGGCCGAGUGGUUAAAGGCAACAGACUGUAAAUCUGUCCGUGUAAUGCGUACGAAGGUUCGAAUCCUUCUCUCUCCA
RNAcentral lists this transfer RNA (84 nucleotides) under Friedmanniomyces endolithicus. RNAcentral describes it as "tRNA-Tyr". It matches the Rfam family "tRNA". Rfam says of the family: Transfer RNA (tRNA) molecules are approximately 80 nucleotides in length. Their secondary structure includes four short double-helical elements and three loops (D, anti-codon, and T loops). Further hydrogen bonds mediate the characteristic L-shaped molecular structure. tRNAs have two regions of fundamental functional importance: the anti-codon, which is responsible for specific mRNA codon recognition, and the 3' end, to which the tRNAs corresponding amino acid is attached (by aminoacyl-tRNA synthetases). tRNAs cope with the degeneracy of the genetic code in two manners: having more than one tRNA (with a specific anti-codon) for a particular amino acid; and 'wobble' base-pairing, i.e. permitting non-standard base-pairing at the 3rd anti-codon position. The record is from RNAcentral. Lineage: Eukaryota; Fungi; Ascomycota; Dothideomycetes; Mycosphaerellales; Teratosphaeriaceae.